UUGGUGUGGUUGUUGCUGGCCCUUUCGGGGGCAUGUGCACACCCACCAUCCUCAUCUCUCCACCUGUGCACCUCUUGUAGACCUGAAUUGACUUUCCGAGGCAACUCGGUCGGGAAGAUUGCUGUGCUCUGUGAGCCAGCUUUCUUUGCAUGUCUAGGCCUAUGUUUUUCAUAUACCCCUAUAGAAUGUAACAGAAUGUAUCAUUGGGCCUUGUGCCUAUAAACCUUAUACAACUUUCAGCAACGGAUCUCUUGGCUCUCGCAUCGAUGAAGAACGCAGCGAAAUGCGAUAAGUAAUGUGAAUUGCAGAAUUCAGUGAAUCAUCGAAUCUUUGAACGCACCUUGCGCUCCUUGGUAUUCCGAGGAGCAUGCCUGUUUGAGUGUCAUUAAAUUCUCAACCUUAUUAACUUUUGUUGAUAAUGGAUUGGAUUGUGGGGGUUUCUUUUGCUGGAUUCUUCACAGAGAUCAGCUCCCCUUAAAUGCAUUAGCUGGUGCCCCGCGUGGACCAUCUAUUGGUGUGAUAAUUAUCUACGCCGUGGAUGUCUGCAAUCAUAUGGGUUUUGCACUGCUUCUAACCGUCUGUUCAUUCGGACAAUACAUGACAAUUUGACCUCAAAUCAGGUAGGACUACCCGCUGAACUUAAGCAUAUCAAUAAGCGGAGGAAAAGAAACUAACAAGGAUUCCCCUAGUAACUGCGAGUGAAGCGGGAAAAGCUCAAAUUUAAAAUCUGGCGGUCUCCGGCCGUCCGAG
This 750-nucleotide ribosomal RNA is filed under the name Alnicola subconspersa. RNAcentral's name for it is "eukaryotic LSU rRNA". The stretch from base 232 to 385 matches the Rfam family "5.8S ribosomal RNA". The record is from RNAcentral. Lineage: Eukaryota; Fungi; Basidiomycota; Agaricomycetes; Agaricales; Hymenogastraceae.